UUGCCAGAUAUCUUCAUUUUUAACCAUCUACCCUGCAUACUUUGAGGAAGACUGGCACAGACCCUAUGGACCGCCUUCUAGAAGGACAGAAAGCUUGGAUAGAAAAAACGUUUUGCAAACGAGAGUGUAUCUUUGUAAUUCCCAGCACUAAAGACCCUAACAGGUGUUGUUGUGGCCAGCUCACCAACCAGCAUAUCCCCCCACUGCCUGGUAUAACAUCUGGCAAAAAUGAAGAGGAGAAUAAACAGGUGGAGACUCUGCCCGAAAAAUGGUCUGUCAGCAAACACACCCAGAGCUACCCAACAGAUUCCUAUGGAACUCUUGAAUUCCAGGGUGGCGGAUACUCCAAUAAAGCCAUGUAUAUCCGAGUAUCCUAUGACACCAAGCCAGAUUCACUGCUUCAUCUUAUGGUGAAAGAUUGGCAGCUGGAACUCCCCAAGCUCUUAAUAUCUGUGCAUGGAGGCCUCCAGAACUUUGAGAUGCAGCCCAAGCUGAAACAGGUCUUUGGGAAAGGUCUGAUCAAGGCUGCCAUGACCACUGGGGCCUGGAUCUUCACUGGAGGCGUCAGUACUGGUGUUAUCAGCCAUGUAGGGGAUGCCUUAAAAGAUCACUCUUCUAAGUCCAGAGGCCGGGUUUGUGCUAUAGGAAUUGCUCCUUGGGGCAUCGUGGAAAAUAAGGAAGACCUGAUUGGAAAGGAUGUAACAAGAGUGUACCAGACCAUGUCCAACCCCCUAAGCAAGCUCUCAUUGCUCAACAACUCGCACACCCAUUUCAUCCUGGCUGACAAUGGUACCCUGGGCAAAUACGGUGCCGAGGUGAAGCUGCGGAGGCAGCUAGAAAAACACAUCUCUCUACAGAAGAUUAACACAAGACUGGGGCAGGGUGUGCCCGUCGUGGGCCUGGUGGUGGAAGGAGCCUCAGACAUUCUGUCUUUUGCACACAAGUAUUGUGAAGAAGGAGGAGUAAUAAAUGAAUCCCUCAAGGAUCAGCUUCUAGUUACCAUUCAGAAAACAUUUAAUUACAACAAGACACAAUCACAUCAGCUGUUUGCAAUUAUAAUGGAGUGCAUGAAAAAGAAAGAACUUGUCACUGUGUUUAGAAUGGGUGCCGAAGGUCAGCAGGACAUUGAGAUGUCUAUUUUAACUGCCCUGUUGAAAGGAACAAAUGCAUCGGCUCCAGACCAGCUGAGCUUGGCACUGGCUUGGAACCGGGUCGACAUAGCACGAAGCCAGAUCUUUGUCUUUGGGCCCCACUGGCCGCCCCUGGGAAGCCUGGCACCCCCGACGGAUAGCAAAGUCACAGAGAAGGAAAAGAAGCCCCCAACAGCAACUACCAAGGGGGGAAGGGGAAAAGGAAAAGGCAAGAAGAAAGGGAAAGUGAAAGAGGAGGUGGAGGAAGAAACAGACCCCCGGAAGAUUGAGCUGCUGAACUGGGUAAAUGCUCUGGAACAAGCCAUGCUGGAUGCUUUAGUCUUAGAUCGAGUGGACUUUGUGAAGCUCCUGAUUGAAAAUGGAGUGAAUAUGCAACACUUUCUCACCAUUCCAAGACUGGAAGAGCUUUACAACACAAGGCUGGGUCCACCAAACACACUUCAUUUGCUGGUGAGAGAUGUAAAAAAGGGCAACUUGCCACCUGAUUACCACAUCAGCCUAAUCGACAUAGGGCUUGUGCUGGAGUACCUCAUGGGCGGGGCGUAUCGCUGCAAUUAUACUCGGAAGAGCUUUCGGACCCUUUAUAACAACUUGUUUGGACCUAAGAGGGUAGAACAAAGUGAACUUGAUGAUGAGCCUCCAGCCAAAGGGAAGAAGAAGAAAAAGAAGAAAAAGGAGGAAGAGAUUGACAUUGAUGUAGAUGACCCUGCUGUGAGUCGGUUCCAGUAUCCCUUCCAUGAGCUGAUGGUGUGGGCUGUGCUGAUGAAGCGCCAGAAAAUGGCAGUCUUCCUCUGGCAGCGAGGAGAGGAGAGCAUGGCCAAAGCACUGGUGGCCUGUAAGCUCUACAAGUCCAUGGCCCAUGAAUCCUCCGAGAGUGAGCUGGUGGAUGAUAUCUCCCAGGAUUUGGACAACAACUCAAAAGACUUUGGCCAGCUUGCCGUGGAGUUGUUAGAUCAGUCCUAUAAGCAUGAUGAGCAGAUUGCCAUGAAACUGCUGACUUAUGAGCUGAAGAAUUGGAGCAACUCCACAUGCCUCAAGCUGGCAGUGGCCGCCAAGCACCGGGACUUCAUCGCUCACACCUGCAGCCAGAUGCUGCUGACUGACAUGUGGAUGGGAAGGCUGAGAAUGAGGAAAAACCCCGGCCUAAAAGUUAUAAUGGGGAUUCUUCUUCCCCCUACCAUCUUGUUUUUGGAGUUUCGCACAUAUGAUGACUUCUCUUAUCAGACAUCCAAGGAGAAUGAAGAUGGUAAAGAGAAAGAAGAGGAGAAUAUGGAUGCAAAUGCAGACGCUGGUUCAAGAAAGGGUGAUGAGGAGAAUGAGCACAAAAAGCAAAGAAGCAUUCCCAUUGGAAUGAAAAUCUGUGAAUUCUAUAACGCUCCCAUUGUCAAGUUCUGGUUUUACACGAUAUCGUACUUGGGCUACCUACUGCUCUUCAACUAUGUCAUCCUGGUGCGGAUGGACCGCUGGCCCUGUCUCCAGGAGUGGAUUGUCAUCUCCUACAUCCUGACCCUAGCAUUGGAGAAAAUACGAGAGAUCCUCAUGUCAGAACCAGGCAAACUCAGCCAGAAAAUAAAAGUUUGGCUUCAGGAGUACUGGAACAUCACGGAUCUUGUAGCCAUUUCCAUGUUCAUGAUUGGAGCAAUCCUCCGCCUACAGAAGCAGCCAUACAUGGGCUAUGGCCGAGUGAUCUACUGUGUGGAUAUCAUCUUCUGGUAUAUCCGAGUCCUGGACAUUUUUGGUGUCAACAAAUAUCUGGGGCCCUAUGUGAUGAUGAUUGGAAAGAUGAUGAUUGACAUGCUGUAUUUUGUGGUCAUUAUGCUGGUUGUGCUGAUGAGUUUUGGAGUAGCCCGUCAAGCCAUUUUGCACCCAGAUGAGGAGCCGUCUUGGAAACUGGCCCGAAACAUCUUCUACAUGCCCUACUGGAUGAUCUAUGGAGAGGUGUUUGCAGACCAGAUAGACCUCUACGCCAUGGAAAUUAAUCCUCCUUGUGGUGACAACCAGUAUGAUGAAGAAGGCAAGCGGCUCCCGCCCUGUAUCCCGGGUGCCUGGCUCACACCUGCCAUCAUGGCGUGCUACCUACUGGUGGCCAACAUCCUGCUUGUGAACUUGCUUAUUGCAGUUUUCAACAAUACCUUCUUUGAAGUUAAGUCAAUAUCCAACCAGGUGUGGAAAUUCCAGCGUUAUCAGCUGAUAAUGACAUUUCAUGACCGGCCAGUCCUACCUCCACCGAUGAUCAUUUUAAGCCACAUCUAUAUAAUCAUUAUGCGUCUUAGUGGUCGCUGUAGGAAAAAAAGAGAAGGGGAUCAAGAUGAGCAGGAUCGUGGUCUAAAGCUGUUUCUCAGCGAUGAGGAGCUGAAGAGGCUGCACGAGUUCGAGGAGCAGUGUGUUCAGGAGCACUUCCAGGAGAAGGAGGAUGAGCAGCAGUCGUCCAGCGAUGAGCGCAUCCGCGUCACUUGUGAGAGGUUUGAAAACAUGUCAAUGAGAUUGGAAGAAAUCAACGAAAGAGAAAAUUUUAUGAAGACGUCCCUACAGACUGUUGACCUUCGACUUUCUCAACUGGAAGAACUGUCUAACAGAAUGGUGAAUGCUCUUGAAAAUCUCGCAGGAAUUGACAGGACGGACCUGAUACAGACACGGUCCCGAGCUUCUUCUGAAUGUGAUGCAACUUAUCUCCUAAGACAAAGCAGUAUCAAUAGUUUGCUGUAUGAGGAUGCUUCUCUAUCCAUGCCACCAGGGACAGGAUUCAGGAAAAAAGCCUGUUCCUUCCGAAUGAAAGAAGAUAAGGAGUCAAAAAUGCAUCUGGUACCAGAGCGUCAGGGCAGCCUUCACCUUUUAUCCAGCACAAGUCCUCCAGCAACACCAGACUGCAGUCAACUUGCAUUAGACAACGUCAAAAAUGCUUCAGAAAUGAAAUUAGGUCCAGAUAUUGGGAUUUCAGCCAAAGAUGAUGGAAGGCAGGUAGACUCCAAAAGGGAAGAAACUAUUCCAAGUGUAAAUGAAACAGAUGUUAUGUACGGACAGAACAAAUCAGAUUUUCAGAACCCUCAGCUAACAGUGGAAACAACACAGAUAGAAGGCACAAUUUCCUAUCCCAUGGAAGAAGCAAAGUUGACACGCUAUCACCCUGAUGAAACCUUCAGUGCUUUUAAAACCAUGAAGUCCAGAAGCUUUGUAUAUUCCCGUGGACAAAAGCUGGUCCGUGGGGUUAACAACUGGAAUACAGAGUACAGUUCAAUCAGGGACCGAGCACACCCCUCUACAGUUCAGCAGUGGACGACAGAAUGGAAAUAUCAAGUUCAAAAGAUUACACGUUCUCGAAGUACCGACAUCCCUUACAUUGUCUCAGAAGCUGUGAUGCAAGCCGAGCAUAAAGAGCAAUUUACCGAUAUCGAAGAUGAUAACUGUGUGUCUGAAAUGGUCCCUCAAAUCUCUCAUUUAUCUGUAGCCGUAACUGACAGAACUGAGAAGGAAAAUUUACUGUCUGUGAAACCAGACCAAACCAUGGGUUUCCCAUCUCUAAGGUCAAAAAGUUUACAUGGCCAUCCUAGGAAAGCUAGAGCCACUCAGGACAAACUAGACAGAUCAGGACAUGCCUGCAGUGUAAGUAACUUAGCAGUUGUGUCUGGAAUUACGACAGAAGAACAGAAGGCCAAGCAAGAGAAAACUUCCACAGAAACUGAAUGUUGA
RNAcentral lists this long non-coding RNA (4838 nucleotides) under Canis lupus familiaris (dog). Its description in RNAcentral is "lncRNA (ENSCAFG00040010338.1)". The record is from RNAcentral. Lineage: Eukaryota; Metazoa; Chordata; Mammalia; Carnivora; Canidae.